This 292-nucleotide ribosomal RNA is filed under the name uncultured bacterium. RNAcentral describes it as "partial 16S ribosomal RNA". It matches the Rfam family "Bacterial small subunit ribosomal RNA", at positions 505 to 796 of the family's 1533-position model. The record is from RNAcentral.
GUGCCAGCCGCCGCGGUAAGACAGAGGUGCCAAGCGUUAGGCGGAAUCACUGGGCUUAAAGCGUGUGUAGGCGGAAGCGUAAGUGCCUUGUGAAAUCCCGCGGCUUAACCGCGGAACGGCUGGGCAUACUGCGUUUCUUGAGCCAGCCAGGGGUCGUCGGAACAAACGGUGGAGCGGUGAAAUGCGUAGAUAUCGUUUGGAACGCCAAAGGCGAAAGCAGACGACUGGGGCUGAGCUGACGCUGAGACACGAAAGCCAGGGGAGCAAACGGGAUUAGAAACCCCCGUAGUCC